Molecule: long non-coding RNA, 1646 nt
Filed under: Cricetulus griseus (Chinese hamster)
Lineage: Eukaryota; Metazoa; Chordata; Mammalia; Rodentia; Cricetidae
Description: lncRNA (ENSCGRG00015003594.2)
Source: RNAcentral
GGUUCACCCCCAAGAGAAUCCAGACUCCUCCUUGCCCAGUGAAGGUUCUUGUAAGUGGAUUCAUACCACGUAGCUCCUCUGGAAGCAAGGUCAACUCCAGGUCAACUAGAUCCUGGUCUUCUGUUUCGCUCUGCGAAGGCUGCAGCAAUGGAGCUGUGCUGUCUGUCAACACCCUCAAGGGAUGGAAUUCUGUGAGUCAAGAACCCAACAGGAGCUCAAAUGUGGAGUGUGAUGGAACAGAUUCUAAAAGGAAGAUGAGAAUCCUUAACUGUAUAUUUCCUAGAAAAUUUUUGAUAAGAAAUACUUGGAAGGCUGAGGUAAAUGAAGCAUCAUAGUUUCGAGGUCAGCCCAAACUAACACAGGAAAAUCCUGUCUCAAAACAUCGGAAAAAAGAGCCUGGCAGUUGUGGUGCACACCUUUUGUCCCAGCACUCAGGAGGCAGAGGCAGGUCCCGAGCCUUCACUCAGUAUCUGAUGGAAGCAGAAGCAGACACCCACAACAAAACACUGAGCCGAACUCCUGGAAUACAGUUGUUGAGAGGGAGGAGUGACGAACAAAGGAAUUAAUCCAUUUCUGCUGCCCACCACCAUAUGUUUUCCUCGUCACUUACGGUCUUUCCUGGAAUUCUGUGCACAUCAGAGUAUAAGUCAUACAAGAACUAGAGGUGAGAGCACUGGCUUGAGUCCCAGUUUACCAAGCACAUGCUGCUGAAAGCACAACAGUGGGCAGAGGACUGUGACAGCUCGCUCUCUGAAGUCGGUGUGUAUGGAAAUGUCUAGACUAAUUCUGUUGUUGAUGUCUCUCCUUGAUGUGUUGAGUCAUAAAGAUUAUAGUUGAAAUUGGAAUCAUUGCUUCUGGAUUUAAAAACAACUACUCGGGAAGCUGUUGAACUCGGUGAGUUUGAGAACAGCCUGGUCUACAGAGUGAGUUCCAGGACAGCCGGGGCUACACAGCGAAACCCUGUUUUGAAGAGAAAAAAAGAUUAGAGUGAGUCAUCCAUCUGCGUCUCCAGCCACUUCUCCAUGGCUUUGACAGGAUCCCAGAACCGAAACAGCAGAGUCACCAUGGACACAAAUGACUGAUGAUCCAAAUGCAAGCCCAGGAGCCUGAAAUCAUUUCUCUUUGAAAAGAAGGAUCCGGACCUGUUACUCCUUUGGCGGCUACAUGGAGACUGUUUCGGACCCUCUUCUGCCUACCUUUCCCAGAAUUCACCUCAUCUCCUAGUCCCACCUAUCUUCCUGCCUCAUUGGCUGAACAGUGUUUUAUUCAUUAACCAAUAAGAGAAACAUAUACAGGACAUCCCCCAUCAAGAAACUGGCUGGAAAUGCCAGGCGUGAUGACAUACACCUGUAAGCCUAGCACAUGGGAGGCUGAGGUACAAUAGAGAACCACAAGUUCCAGGCCAGCCUGAGCUAAAGAAUGAAGGCCUGUCUCAAAAAAAGGAACGGGAACUACAAAACAGCUCAGUGGUAGAAAGCUUGUGUAGUGUGUGAAAGGUCACAGAUUCAAUCCCAGGUUCAUAGUUGUUUAUUUUCAAAAAAUUAAAAUUGGGGCUGCCUUGCAUAAAACUGUAUGUGGUAUCCCAUGCCUGUAAUUCUAGCACUUGGAGGGUGGAGACAGGAGGAUCAGAAAUCCAUUAUUCUAAA